RNAcentral lists this ribosomal RNA (501 nucleotides) under uncultured bacterium. RNAcentral describes it as "bacterial SSU rRNA". It matches the Rfam family "Bacterial small subunit ribosomal RNA", at positions 29 to 520 of the family's 1533-position model. The record is from RNAcentral.
AACAAACGCUGGCGGCGUGUCUUAAGCAUGCAAGUUGAGCGGCAAGGAGGAGAGAUCCUCCCUAGAGCGGCGGACUGGUGAGUAACGCGUGGGUAAUCUAUCGUAGGCAUGGGGAUAGUCACUAGAAAUAGUGGGUAAUACCGAAUACGUUCCAUGAGGGGAGUACUUAUGGAAGAAAGGGUGCUACGGCACUGGCCUUAGGUGAGCUCGCGUCCCAUUAGCUAGUUGGUGAGGUAAAGGCCCACCAAGGCGAUGAUGGGUAGCCGGCCUGAGAGGGUGUACGGCCACACUGGGACUGAGAUACGGCCCAGACUCCUACGGGAGGCAGCAGCUAAGAAUAUUCCGCAAUGGACGAAAGUCUGACGGAGCGACGCCGCGUGGAUGAAGAAGGCCGAAAGGUUGUAAAGUUCUUUGCUAGGGGAGAAUAAGUGAGGGAGGGAAUGCCCUCAUGAUGACAAGGACUAGCGAAUAAGCCCCGGCAACUACGUGCCAGCAGCCCGG